AUUGAACGCUGGCGGCAGGCCUAACACAUGCAAGUCGAGCGGCAGCGGGAAAGUAGCUUGCUACUUUUGCCGGCGAGCGGCGGACGGGUGAGUAAUGCCUGGGAAAUUGCCCAGUCGAGGGGGAUAACAGUUGGAAACGACUGCUAAUACCGCAUACGCCCUACGGGGGAAAGCAGGGGACCUUCGGGCCUUGCGCGAUUGGAUAUGCCCAGGUGGGAUUAGCUAGUUGGUGAGGUAAUGGCUCACCAAGGCGACAAUCCCUAGCUGGUCUGAGAGGAUGAUCAGCCACACUGGAACUGAGACACGGUCCAGACUCCUACGGGAGGCAGCAGUGGGGAAUACUGCACAAUGGGGGAAACCCUGAUGCAGCCAUGCCGCGUGUGUGAAGAAGGCCUUCGGGUCGUAAAGCACUUUCAGCGAGGAGGAAAGGUUGAUGCCUAAUACGUAUCAACUGUGACGUUACUCGCAGAAGAAGCACCGGCUAACUCCGUGCCAGCCGCCGCCGUAA
Molecule: ribosomal RNA, 508 nt
Filed under: uncultured bacterium
Lineage: Bacteria
Description: partial 16S ribosomal RNA
Rfam family: Bacterial small subunit ribosomal RNA
Source: RNAcentral